RNAcentral lists this long non-coding RNA (620 nucleotides) under Phasianus colchicus (ring-necked pheasant). RNAcentral describes it as "lncRNA (ENSPCLG00000019413.1)". The record is from RNAcentral. Lineage: Eukaryota; Metazoa; Chordata; Aves; Galliformes; Phasianidae.
AGCAGCUCCACCUGCCUGAGGUUUGAAAAGAGACUUGGGCAGAAGGAAAGCAGCUUGGGGCUGGUGGUUGCAGCUCCAGAUGCUCUGUGCCCUAGGGAAAAUAAGCUUUGCACUUGUACCUCUCAACUUCCAGGAGCAUCCCUGGCCUGAGGUUUAUUCCUGCUGCUGAUCCACAGCAGCUUUUUAAACUCGAGUUUAGAGGAUAAGAGGAAGAGAAUCAGAUGAAUGAAAGCAAAGAUGCUGUUGCUUUGCCCGGUGGGUCUUCUCCCAUCACUUCUUGGCUGCAUGAGGCACUGGAGGAAGCUGAGGGUGCGUGGUGUGACAGGUCGUCUGUCUGUCUGCUGUGGUGAGGAUGUCUUGUAACCAGGUUUUGGGCUGUGGGAGCCCUCUGCUGAGCCUGUUCCAUCUGAAAGCAGCAGCUCUGAGUGCUUCUGCAUCAGAGAAGCAAUGGGCUGCUGUGAAGAUGAACCAUCUUGGGCUGAGCUGCUGUAUUUCCAUCCCCCAGAGAGGGGCACUGUUGGAUUUCGUUCUGGGUGGCCACCGAUUGCUUUCCCACCUCCCUUUUCACCACCACAGUCUUUGAUUUUCCAGCUGGGUCUCCUGAUUUUCUGAAAAGACAC